Molecule: ribosomal RNA, 117 nt
Organism: Notechis scutatus (mainland tiger snake)
Lineage: Eukaryota; Metazoa; Chordata; Lepidosauria; Squamata; Elapidae
Source: Ensembl
AACUAUGUCACAGCUGGGGUAGCACCAGGUUGACCAUCUGGGCUCAGAAGCUAAGCAGGAUCUGGUCUGAUUAGUAUUUGGAUGGGAGACUUUCUGGAAAUGCCAAAGCUGUAGGCU